GAUCCUGGCUUAGGAUGAACGCUAGCUACAGGCUUAACACAUGCAAGUCGAGGGUAGCAGGGUAGCAAUACCGCUGACGACCGGCGCACGGGUGAGUAACACGUAUCCAACCUUCCCAUAACUCAGGGAUAGCCUUUCGAAAGAAAGAUUAAUACCUGAUAGUACUUUUUCAAGGCAUCUUGAGAAAGUUAAAGAUUUAUUGGUUAUGGAUGGGGAUGCGUUCCAUUAGAUAGUUGGUGAGGUAACGGCUCACCAAGUCUUCGAUGGAUAGGGGUUCUGAGAGGAAGGUCCCCCACAUUGGUACUGAGACACGGACCAAACUCCUACGGGAGGCAGCAGUGAGGAAUAUUGGUCAAUGGGCGAGAGCCUGAACCAGCCAAGUAGCGUGAAGGAUGAAGGUCCUAUGGAUUGUAAACUUCUUUUAUAGUAGAAUAAAGUGAUCCACGUGUGGAUUUUUGUAUGUAUACUAUGAAUAAGGAUCGGCUAACUCCGUGCCAGCAGCGGC
Molecule: ribosomal RNA, 505 nt
Filed under: uncultured bacterium
Lineage: Bacteria
Description: bacterial SSU rRNA
Rfam family: Bacterial small subunit ribosomal RNA
Source: RNAcentral